AUACGUGGGGGGCGGGCCGAAACCCGGAAGUCAACAAUGGGAGCUGAAGCGGCGCAGCGGCCGCCACGGAGCAGGACGGGAGCCGCUGUCGGCGCGUCCGGCUCUGGAGUCGGAGGGGCUGCGCUUCCUGCACGUCGCCGUGGGCUCCCUGCUGGCCGCCGACGGCUGGUACCUGGUCUUGGGCUGCACCCUCCUGGUGGCCGUCUUUCCGAAGCUCUCCGCCCGCCUGAGGGCCUCCGGGCAGAGGCCGCCGGCCCGGCGGCAGCUGCUGUGGCCCCCGAGGACGUUGUGAGACGGUAGGAGGCACUAGGAGGCCCUAGCGGCCGCGCGCCUGAAGAUGCAGGAAGAAUUCAAUGCCCAGGCAGAAAGGCACAAGGAGAAGCUACGACAGGGAGGAAACAGCGACCACGAGAAGCACCCGGCCUAACAUCCGCGUGCGAGCCGCAAGCCCCACGCCUCCACUCCACGCGGCGGCAAGGGAGCACAGAGGGCCUCCUGAUGCACAAGACCUCGCCAAAACCUCUCAACCUCGGAGUGUCUUACACGGCCCCGCAACGGGGAGGACGACGGUGCCAAAUGCUCCCGCCUCUGCGCGGGGAGCCUCCCAGGACGGCAAGCGGAAGUUAGUGCGUGAGCCUCACGCUUUUCUCUCGCGAGAGUGGCGGCAGCCCCGGGAAGAGGUUGAAGACACCUGCGGUGCGGAGCCCGGCAGGUGGGGCCUGCCUGCUAGGACCGCACCAGGUGCCCGAAUGAAUGCAAGGCCCGGUGUGGGCAU
Molecule: long non-coding RNA, 775 nt
Organism: Eptesicus fuscus (big brown bat)
Lineage: Eukaryota; Metazoa; Chordata; Mammalia; Chiroptera; Vespertilionidae
Exons: 4
Source: RefSeq, a predicted model, not a curated record